CCUGGCGGCUUUAGCGCGGUGGUCCCACCUGACCCCAUGCCGAACUCAGAAGUGAAACGCCGUAGCGCCGAUGGUAGUGUG
RNAcentral lists this ribosomal RNA (81 nucleotides) under Enterobacter asburiae. Lineage: Bacteria; Pseudomonadati; Pseudomonadota; Gammaproteobacteria; Enterobacterales; Enterobacteriaceae. The record is from RNAcentral. RNAcentral also lists the same sequence under 3 other names.